AGUCCUUGACCACGACUGUUGCGGCAGCAGCGGCAGCAGCAGCGGUGCUGACAUUGGGACAGCAGUGUCAGGACAGUGGUGGCAGCAAGAGCUGCAGGACUGGCAGAGGGCAAGGCACCAUGGCCUUUGCUCUGCGCCUCUUCCUCCUGCUCCUCCUGGCAGUGGCCCUGCCUGACAGGGCUGCCCAGGCUUCUCCACAGCAAGCACAGGGAGCAGCCAAACUUCUUGAUGAAGGUGAUCUGGCUUCCCAACCCACAUCCAGGACUGAAGCUCAGGGAGAUGGUGAGGGUGUGUCUGCAGGGAGGAUGUUUCCAGCUCCUGG
Molecule: non-coding RNA, 322 nt
Organism: Cyanistes caeruleus (blue tit)
Lineage: Eukaryota; Metazoa; Chordata; Aves; Passeriformes; Paridae
Source: RefSeq, a predicted model, not a curated record